This is a long non-coding RNA of Hypanus sabinus (Atlantic stingray), 203 nucleotides long. RefSeq lists it as uncharacterized. The transcript is spliced from 3 exons. The record is from RefSeq and is a predicted model, not a curated record. Lineage: Eukaryota; Metazoa; Chordata; Chondrichthyes; Myliobatiformes; Dasyatidae.
AGUUAUCUCCUUUUGCUCAAGAGCCUGAUUGUUGUGGGGCAGCAACUGUACUUGAACCUGGUGGUGUGAGUCCUGAGGCUCUUGUACCUUCUACCUGAUGGCAGCAGUGAGAAAAGAGCAUGGCUUGGGUGGUACCUGUGAUGUUGCUGCAGGAAUGGUCCCCAUUGUACUGCUUGCACAGGAGUUGGUUCUACUUGAUCGGC